GCGUGCGUUGGCUGGGGAGGCGGAGUCUUGUGGUGUUAGAGGACAUCUCGAGGACUUUGCUGAAAAGCUGAGAAUCCUGGAAUCUGGUAGAAUUUGUGGAUUACUUCAGGGGUGAUUGUCUGCAAAGAAGCCAUUUUAGGGUCUGUCUUCAGGGCUUGACGUGGAGUCCCUCUGCUCAGUAAAAGGAUAUAGCCAUGGUAAU
Calidris pugnax (ruff) is the source of this 202-nucleotide long non-coding RNA. RefSeq lists it as uncharacterized. The record is from RefSeq and is a predicted model, not a curated record. The transcript has 3 exons. Lineage: Eukaryota; Metazoa; Chordata; Aves; Charadriiformes; Scolopacidae.